RNAcentral lists this ribosomal RNA (264 nucleotides) under uncultured bacterium. RNAcentral describes it as "partial 16S ribosomal RNA". It matches the Rfam family "Bacterial small subunit ribosomal RNA", at positions 333 to 589 of the family's 1533-position model. The record is from RNAcentral.
GUUACCCUACGGGACGCAGCAGUAGGGAAUCUUCCACAAUGGACGAAAGUCUGAUGGAGCAACGCCGCGUGAGUGAAGAAGGGUUUCGGCUCGUGAAGCUCUGUUGGUAGUGAAGAAAGAUAGAGGUAGUAACUGGCCUUUAUUUGACGGUAAUUACUUAGAAAGUCACGGCUAACUACGUGCCAGCAGCCGCGGUAAUACGUAGGUGGCAAGCGUUGUCCGGAUUUAUUGGGCGUAAAGCGAGUGCAGGCGGUUCAAUAAGGC